AUCAGACCAUGCUUGAAGUUGUUCAAGUCGCCGACUCUACACCAGAGCAAAAGAAUAGGGAUGGCGACGAGCCUUGAUCGAUGUAUUUUGCUUUCUCUUUUUGUAAUCAAAUAUUUGUAAUCGGACUUUGGUCCAAUCUUGUAAUCUCUUUUUGAGAAUAAACAAAAAGAAUUUUUCUUCUAAGUCCAAACUUUUUUGUUUUGCUCGUUUGUAAUGUUAAGUCUGCAAUGUCUGCAAUGUAAAUCAGCCACCGAACAUUAAUCGGUGAUCCAAACA
Molecule: long non-coding RNA, 276 nt
Filed under: Elaeis guineensis (African oil palm)
Lineage: Eukaryota; Viridiplantae; Streptophyta; Magnoliopsida; Arecales; Arecaceae
Description: long non-coding RNA (EGUI_LNC028819)
Source: RNAcentral